Molecule: ribosomal RNA, 253 nt
Filed under: uncultured bacterium
Lineage: Bacteria
Description: partial 16S ribosomal RNA
Rfam family: Bacterial small subunit ribosomal RNA
Source: RNAcentral
UACGUAGGCAGCGAGCGUUGUUCGGAAUUACUGGGCGUAAAGAGUGUGUAGGCGGUGCUAUAAGUUCGGUGUGAAAUCUCCCGGCUCAACUGGGAGGGUGCGCCGAAAACUGUAGUGCUCGAACGUGGGAGAGGAAAGCGGAAUUCCUGGUGUAGCGGUGAAAUGCGUAGAUAUCGGGAGGAACACCGGUGGCGAAGGCGGCCCCCUGGUUGGAUACUGACGCUGAGACGCGAAAGCGUGGGGAGCAAACAGG